AGUGAACGCUGGCGGUAGGCCUAACACAUGCCAGUCGAACGGCAGCACAGUAAGAGCUUGCUCUUACGGGUGGCGAGUGGCGGACGGGUGAGGAAUACAUCGGAAUCUACUUUUUCGUGGGGGAUAACGUAGGGAAACUUACGCUAAUACCGCAUGCGACCUACGGGUGAAAGCAGGGGAUCUUCGGACCUUGCGCGAUUGAAUGAGCCGAUGUCGGAUUAGUUAGUUGGGGGGUUAAAGGCCCACCAAGGCGAGGAUCCGUAGCUGGUCUGAGGGGAUGAUAGGCCACCCGGGAAUGGAGACACGGCCCAGCCCCCUAGGGGAGGCAGAGGGGGGGAAUUUGGGGAAAUGGGGGAAAGCUUGACCCAGCCAACCCGGGGGGGUGAAGAAGGCUUUCGGGUUGUAAAGCCUUUUUGUUGGGAAAAAAAACCGGGGGGUGAAAACCCCGCUUUUUGGGGGGGCCCCAAAAAAAAAGCCCGGGCAAACUUCGG
RNAcentral lists this ribosomal RNA (491 nucleotides) under uncultured bacterium. RNAcentral's name for it is "partial 16S ribosomal RNA". It matches the Rfam family "Bacterial small subunit ribosomal RNA", at positions 30 to 506 of the family's 1533-position model. The record is from RNAcentral.